This is a long non-coding RNA of Chiloscyllium plagiosum (whitespotted bambooshark), 1329 nucleotides long. RefSeq lists it as uncharacterized. NCBI's taxonomy places the organism in Eukaryota, Metazoa, Chordata, Chondrichthyes, Orectolobiformes, Hemiscylliidae. The record is from RefSeq and is a predicted model, not a curated record.
GAACCCACAGCCUCUGACUUCAGGAUCUACUUAUACAAAAUUAUGUGAGAAUUUCAAAGUGUAAAUCAGAAGAAACAUUAUCAAAUGAAAAAAGAGGUUUGGUAACCAAAAGAUAGAUAUUAAGAUGUCGCAAAAGGAGCGAAUGGUGAUGUGAAGAAAAUUCUAAAAUAAUGCAGUGAUGCUUUAUAAUCUGGAAUGCAUUGCCUGAAACAAAAAGCCGGCAUGAAGGCCGAUACGUCCCAGAAUCCAGUGCGGGCCUGAAAGCCCUGUAUUCGAACCAAGACGCUGUACAUUUAAUUGGAGGUAUUCACCGUCGCUUGGAAUGCUGGGAUAUUUCACGUCCAUGAACAGCUCAAGAGGCAUGUAAUAACAUCUCAAACAAUUCCUAAUCAGCCUAUCUGCCUGAGAACGUUCUGCAGUGAUAUUCUGGAGUUGAGAUGACUGACUGGCAACAUCUACAGUUCUAGUGGUUGUGUCCCUAUCUCAAGCCCAACUCUGACCAGUAUAAUAACAUCUCUGAACUGACUGAUACAUAUCCAACCAUGUAUAUGGCAACAAAAAGGACACUGAACAACAAACAAGAGGAUGGAAUAACCAGCUAGUUCUUUUCUGUAAGCCAGCAGUACUCCGAAUAAGGCAUUAGACAAUAACAAUAGAAAAAGGCCCUUGCAUUGAGAUUAUAUCUGGGCUGGCUCUUUGAAAAGUGUAAGUACAGUGUAAACCACUGAUGAAACUGCAACUGGAGUAUCACGAACAGUUCUAGAUCCCUUGCCAAAGAAAAGAUAUACUUUCUGCAAUUGGAAUGAGCAGAAAUUGAUUGAUUCCUGACAGGGUGGGAAUGUUCUAUAAAGAGAUAUUGAAGAGAUAGUGGGAGUUUCUCCAGAGUUUUCUAUUUUUAUUUCAGUACUGCAGAUUCCGUAGUACUUUAUUUUUAUUUAAGAAAGAGGAUAUUCCUUCUUGCUGUGGAAUCUACAACCAGUGGGUGCAGUUAUAAAAUAUGACUAGGACUUUCUGGGAACUGAAAUGAGAGGAAUGCUUUCACUCAGAGGGUGUGAAUCUUGGGAAUACUCUACUCUGAGGGCUGUGGAAGUUCAGUCAUUAAAUAAGUUCAAAACUGAGACUGAUUGAUGUAAAUAGUAGGAACACAUCUAAAAGAUAGAUGUACAAUGUGGAAAUAUGGCAUUGGGAUAGAUGUUCAGCCAUGAUCUAGAAUAUUGGAGCAGGCUUGAAUGAUCUAUUUAAGUUCUGAUGUUCCUAUCUAACUGAUGAUACUCACCCCACACCACACCCACAAACAAUGUGCACAUUCUCCUCUACACGCAUUAUAUC